CCCCCUGGUACUGGGUAGAGACACCUUGUUGGUGGCGGUGUUCUUAUAUCAGUCAGGACAGAGCAGAUGGCGGUCCUUUGUGCAUCCUAACUUGAUGCCUGGCUUAGUGACCAAAGCUGUUUUAUGCCUAGGACACAUAA
Molecule: non-coding RNA, 140 nt
Organism: Mus musculus (house mouse)
Lineage: Eukaryota; Metazoa; Chordata; Mammalia; Rodentia; Muridae
Source: Rfam